UGUAAAAACUUGUGAACUAUGUCCUCGGUCUAGCUAGCAUAUGUAUAUGUGUCUUGUAUUUGUAUAGUCAGACCUCACGUUGGUUAGAUAGUCAGAACACACAACCAAUAUAUACUUUUCACGCCUUCAUUUUUUUUCUAUUUUUUACAUGAUUAAUGGUGGGUCGGGGCUGGAGAGACAGAUAUCACCUAGGACUGAAAUGAACGAAGGCUGCAGAUCAAGGGAGAUAACUGAAAGCAAUGUGAGCCAAUCAGCGUACUGUUGCAAGUACUACAAUAUUGGAGGUUGGUGUGCAUUACAUAUUGCAACUACAAUGAAGGUUGCAGCUGCUUGGGAUCGAGCCAUAGGCGUAUCCACUCUGGCAGAUCAAAUCUUGGCUAUGCCACUCG
This 389-nucleotide long non-coding RNA is filed under the name Brachypodium distachyon (stiff brome). RNAcentral's name for it is "long non-coding RNA (BDIS_LNC002804)". The record is from RNAcentral. Lineage: Eukaryota; Viridiplantae; Streptophyta; Magnoliopsida; Poales; Poaceae.